Molecule: ribosomal RNA, 492 nt
Filed under: uncultured bacterium
Lineage: Bacteria
Description: partial 16S ribosomal RNA
Rfam family: Bacterial small subunit ribosomal RNA
Source: RNAcentral
AGUGAACGCUGGCGGUAGGCCUAACACAUGCAAGUCGAACGGCAGCACAGUAAGAGCUUGCUCUUACGGGUGGCGAGUGGCGGACGGGUGAGGAAUACAUCGGAAUCUACUUUUUCGUGGGGGAUAACGUAGGGAAACUUACGCUAAUACCGCAUACGACCUACGGGUGAAAGCAGGGGAUCUUCGGACCUUGCGCGAUUGAAUGAGCCGAUGUCGGAUUAGCUAGUUGGCGGGGUAAAGGCCCACCAAGGCGACGAUCCGUAGCUGGUCUGAGAGGAUGAUCAGCCACACUGGAACUGAGACACGGUCCAGACUCCUACGGGAGGCAGCAGUGGGGAAUAUUGGACAAUGGGCGCAAGCCUGAUCCAGCCAUACCGCGUGGGUGAAGAAGGCCUUCGGGUUGUAAAGCCCUUUUGUUGGGAAAGAAAAGCGGCAGGUUAAUACCCCGCUGUUCUGACGGUACCCAAAGAAUAAGUACCGGCUAACUUCGUG